Molecule: ribosomal RNA, 1554 nt
Filed under: Salmonella enterica subsp. enterica serovar Senftenberg
Lineage: Bacteria; Pseudomonadati; Pseudomonadota; Gammaproteobacteria; Enterobacterales; Enterobacteriaceae
Also listed under: 4 other names
Description: bacterial SSU rRNA
Rfam family: Bacterial small subunit ribosomal RNA
Source: RNAcentral
AAAUUGAAGAGUUUGAUCAUGGCUCAGAUUGAACGCUGGCGGCAGGCCUAACACAUGCAAGUCGAACGGUAACAGGAAGCAGCUUGCUGCUUUGCUGACGAGUGGCGGACGGGUGAGUAAUGUCUGGGAAACUGCCUGAUGGAGGGGGAUAACUACUGGAAACGGUGGCUAAUACCGCAUAACGUCGCAAGACCAAAGAGGGGGACCUUCGGGCCUCUUGCCAUCAGAUGUGCCCAGAUGGGAUUAGCUUGUUGGUGAGGUAACGGCUCACCAAGGCGACGAUCCCUAGCUGGUCUGAGAGGAUGACCAGCCACACUGGAACUGAGACACGGUCCAGACUCCUACGGGAGGCAGCAGUGGGGAAUAUUGCACAAUGGGCGCAAGCCUGAUGCAGCCAUGCCGCGUGUAUGAAGAAGGCCUUCGGGUUGUAAAGUACUUUCAGCGGGGAGGAAGGUGUUGUCGUUAAUAACCACAGCAAUUGACGUUACCCGCAGAAGAAGCACCGGCUAACUCCGUGCCAGCAGCCGCGGUAAUACGGAGGGUGCAAGCGUUAAUCGGAAUUACUGGGCGUAAAGCGCACGCAGGCGGUCUGUCAAGUCGGAUGUGAAAUCCCCGGGCUCAACCUGGGAACUGCAUUCGAAACUGGCAGGCUUGAGUCUUGUAGAGGGGGGUAGAAUUCCAGGUGUAGCGGUGAAAUGCGUAGAGAUCUGGAGGAAUACCGGUGGCGAAGGCGGCCCCCUGGACAAAGACUGACGCUCAGGUGCGAAAGCGUGGGGAGCAAACAGGAUUAGAUACCCUGGUAGUCCACGCCGUAAACGAUGUCUACUUGGAGGUUGUGCCCUUGAGGCGUGGCUUCCGGAGCUAACGCGUUAAGUAGACCGCCUGGGGAGUACGGCCGCAAGGUUAAAACUCAAAUGAAUUGACGGGGGCCCGCACAAGCGGUGGAGCAUGUGGUUUAAUUCGAUGCAACGCGAAGAACCUUACCUGGUCUUGACAUCCACGGAAGAAUUCAGAGAUGGAUUUGUGCCUUCGGGAACCGUGAGACAGGUGCUGCAUGGCUGUCGUCAGCUCGUGUUGUGAAAUGUUGGGUUAAGUCCCGCAACGAGCGCAACCCUUAUCCUUUGUUGCCAGCGGUCCGGCCGGGAACUCAAAGGAGACUGCCAGUGAUAAACUGGAGGAAGGUGGGGAUGACGUCAAGUCAUCAUGGCCCUUACGACCAGGGCUACACACGUGCUACAAUGGCGCAUACAAAGAGAAGCGACCUCGCGAGAGCAAGCGGACCUCAUAAAGUGCGUCGUAGUCCGGAUUGGAGUCUGCAACUCGACUCCAUGAAGUCGGAAUCGCUAGUAAUCGUGGAUCAGAAUGCCACGGUGAAUACGUUCCCGGGCCUUGUACACACCGCCCGUCACACCAUGGGAGUGGGUUGCAAAAGAAGUAGGUAGCUUAACCUUCGGGAGGGCGCUUACCACUUUGUGAUUCAUGACUGGGGUGAAGUCGUAACAAGGUAACCGUAGGGGAACCUGCGGUUGGAUCACCUCCUUACCUUAAAGAAGC